GUUUGUAUGAUAAUUAUUAUCAAGAAACCUAUUUUGCUAAUAUUUUCAGAAAACAUUUUUUCUGAAAAUUUGAAACACUUUUCAAACAGUAGUAUUUCAUGCCAUUUGGAAAAAGUGUGAUACUUUUUUAUGACAUAAAUUCACUAUUUGUACUAAUAAACUAAAUAUAAUUCACUCCUUACCCAAAGGUCCUACUGCAGUCAACCCUUCAAUGUUUUAAUUGUGAAUCUUAUUUUUUCCAGGUUACGUAAUUAGGCUUUUAAAAAAAUAAAUAGUUGCUCCAGUUAAAAUCAGUCAGCUCAUACUCCACGUUAGGAACAAAUUAGGUGCCGUUCUGGUGCCAGUAGUAAAAUUAUACUGCAGUAGCUGAGCUCAAAGAAACUGUCCUACCCUUUCUUAAACUCACUUUCCAUUGCAAAACAAAAAAAGAAAGAAUUCAGUAUUUCAGUCAGUGUGGUUGCUGAGACACCUGUGUGUCAGAGCUGACACGUGCUCAUUCGGCAAGUUUUGGCAGAACUCUUGCCAUGUGCCCGGCACUGUUCUCUGCCCGUGUCCUCACAAGUAAGGAGAGACUGCCAGUAGACAAAUAAUUACAUGUCAAGUGGUGAAAAAUAAAGCAGGAUAAGGGGCGGAGGAUGCUGGAGGGGCUUGCUUACCUAUACAGGGUGGUGAGGAAAAGCCUUUCUGAUGAAUGACAUUACAAGAGAGACCAGAAGAAAUGAGAAGGGGUGACUCAUGCAGCUUCAGGGGAAAGGCAUUCCAGGCAGAGAGAACAGUCAGUACAAAGGCCCCGAGGCAGGAUCAAGUGGUGGGUUCUGGCAUGUGCUGGCCUGUGUUCUAAGAGGAGCAGACAGAUGAGUGCGUCACAGAGUAAGCAAGAGCGAGAGUCUUAGGAGAUGAAGUUAAAGAUAAGGAGUCGAAGUGAGGGCCUAUGAAUGAGGUGGGGCCGUCAGAAGGCUUUGAGCAGAGGGCGCCCUGGCGUGACUAGAAGGAUUCCUCUAGCUGCUGGUGGCUCCAGCUCCAGGAACAGGAAUGUGAGUUAGAGACUGUCAGGCUAAUCCAGGUGUAAGGAGAUGGGUUUGGUGUGAGUGGUGGCGGUGGAGGUGGCCAGAUUCAAGACUUUUCUGAGAGAAGAGCAUGUCGCAAUAUGCUGGUUGGCUGAGGAAUCAGGAAUGACUCCCAGGUUCUCGACUUGAGGAACUGGAAGAAGGAAGAGCUCAUUCACUGUGACAGGGAGACCAGGUGCAAAUUUGGGAGAAAGGAAACCGGGAGUUCUGUGUUGGAUAUGUUAAGUCUGAGAUGCGAACCCAAGGAGACUGUAAAGUGGCGAUUCAGUGCACUACGAGUCUGGCACUGAGGGGAGAGUUGGGUUGGAGGUGCAGAGUUGGGAGACAGCAGCACAGCAGUGGUGUCAAAGGCUGUGAGCUUGGGUGAGGUCACCCUGGGAGACAAAUACGGAAGACUGAGCCCUGGGGCUCCAGCGUCGGGAGGUCUGGAAGACGAGGAGGAACCAGCAAGGAGGCAGGAAGGGCUGAUCCUCGGGGUGGGAAAACCCCAAGAGCAAUGUUCAUGAAAGCUUGGGGAAGAAAAUGUUUCAAGAAGGAGGGAAUAGUUAUUGGUGUCAAAGGUCACCAUUAGUACAGAUUUAGAAUCAGCCAUUGGCUCUGAAAAUAUGAGGGUCAUUUGAGAUCUUGACAACAGCUGUUUGGGUGGAGCGGUGGGAAUGAAAGCUCCAUCAGAGAUUGUUCAAAUGAGGAUGAGAAGGGCCAAGUGGAGACGGUCACAUCGGCAACUCUUUUGAGGAGUUUUAUUAUAAAAGGACGCCGAGAAAUGGGGCAGGAGGCACUUGGAAGGAUGUGGGGUCAAGAGUUUUUGUAGCUGUUGUUUUUAAUAUGGGAGAAAGAAGAGUGUUUGUAUUCUUGGUAUCAAUCCAGUAGAGAGAAAACUUGAUGUUAUUGGAGGGAAGGAAUUCCUGGAGCCAAGGCCUUGAGCUACUAGCCUGGAGCAUGACCAGAAAUAGCUCUAACGGCAUAAUAAAUGACCUAUUUGUGGACCAGCUAGGAGAUUAGGCUCCCUCUUAUUUUAUUUGGAAUGUUGCUAGGUUCUUCACGUACACGAUCCUUAAUCUUAUGUAACAGGACCCCCACAGCCAUCUCCAAGCUAUGCAUGAGGGACUGCUUCCACUAGGAUGUAUGACAUCUGCUGAUUUGCACGAGACACCUGAGCCCAAAGGAGAGAAUUCAACCCCUUUCCAUAAGCAGGGUUCAAGCAUAUAAAGAUAUUUUGGAUGGGAGGUGCGGCGGUCAUGACAGAAGCCAGAUUACGGAGAGGGGCAAGGUCCCUGAAAGAAAGCCACCUUAGAUCAAGAAGUCUGGCAUGAUAGGCUGAAGUCAUUGCAGGCCCUGUGGUUCAGGUGGGCACUGUUUCUGCAUAAAGCAGGUGACUGUGCUUGAAACCAGCCCAGCCCCCUGGGGAAGAUCUGUGUGUCCAGCAAGAAGAGGACUGUGUGGUUCAAAACUAACACGAGCCAACCAUCCCAGAAUAAUUGUAUUACUAAGGUCCCCAGCCUCGAGGCUGCUGAGCCUUCCCUCUGGGAAUAAAAAUGGUAGAACUAUUAGAAGAGGAAGGAAGCAAAGGAUUCCAACCAGCAGUGGUGGGAAGAGCAGACGCUCCCGGAGGAGUUGAGAUGAAGGACAGGACGCUGCCAUCAUGAGGUGCCUGGCAGACCUUUGGCAGUGUGGCAGACAGUACAGGGGGCCUUAGAAUGGAUCAGUCAUGGGCCAAAAGCAGCAGCUAGGACAUUGUUUGUGACAACCCUUCCUCUAGAAGAUAAGAAAACCGAGAGACAGGCAAGGAGAAGGAAUCACAUGUUGCCAUUUGGUGGCCCAGCAGACUUGGGCAAAGCGCCAGGCGUCGUUACCUAGGAUGCACAGAUUAUGCUUCUAACAACUUUAGAAGUUGUUCAUGACAUUGGCAUUUGAGGAGGGUCCUGGCCAGUCAUCCCGCGGAAUGUGCCUCCACAGAGAUUGUCUGGCUGUUUCCACACCGUUUGGUGCAGGCUGGACAUCUUCAGUGAGAACGCUGCAUGGGAGAUUUUUUGACCUAGCUCACGACAUGUUUAUCUAGAAAGAGUAUAUUCCUGCUGUGUCGUGAACUCCUAAGUAAUAAAGCUGCCACACAAAUAUUGCAAGAACAAAAGCAGGAGCAAUCGCCCGGCUAGCUCGUGACCUUCUUAAAGACACCGAGUCUGUAAGGGGAGUAAGCACACACUGCCACCUGUCAGCGUCCUGAACACUCCUGCUCUCAUCCUGCCACACGCCCAGGCUCCAGCAAAUCAAAUACCACAGAGCAGGAGGAGGCCGAAGGUGUUAACAAGCCAGCUCCUUCAGUAAUCCCCGUAAUUACCAUUGCUCCACCCUACUCGUGCACCGCAGCUGCCGCAUGAGCCGACCUGUGCCUCACUCAGAGCCACCGCGGAGGAAAGUCUUAGUAACUGUGUUGCUGCGGUUCCCAGAGCUUCGUCUCGGCCCACGUCCCACCAGCACUGGGGGCCUGUUGCGGUCUGCCUGGGGACUGAUCCAGUUCCAGGAUCCCAUUCCGAAGAUAGGCCAGCAAGGCCGCUUCUGGUACUACCCGUCUUGGCUUGUACACGUCCCCCAAAGUGAAGUCUGAGACAAGGGGCUGUGUGUUAGUUGCUGAUUUGGGGAAGUGAUACCAGGGAGCUGGAGCAGAGGACAGGAGAGAGGGAGAUGGGGAAGGAGGACCAGCCAGUGCAGGGGCAACAGUUCCCUGAGGAGCCAGGGACCAGAAGAGGGGAGCAUUCACCACCACUGCCUGUCCCCGUUGGCCAAUGGUCCCCCCAUGGGGUGUUAACUCCGGAGUGUUAGAAUCAUCCCACCAGCAUCCCAUACAUCCCUCCUUGGGCAGAAAGCAAAGGGUACGGAUGCAGCUGAGGUGGGGGCUGUGGGCUUCAUCCACUCAAAGCUGGUUGCUGCAGUGACUGUUAAAUUAAAACAUUGGCAGAAAGGCUGGGAAGCAGGACACAGAGGCACUGAAACGCUGACCUCCUUGCUGUUCCACAAACUUCCCAGGCAGGAGCGCACGUAAGAGCCUUUGGAACGGCAGUGCCGUCCGCCUGGAACACUUUUCUGGAAUCCUCACGACCCUUCCUCAGGUCUCCCUUCAUUUGUCACCUUUCAGUGAGGUCUCCCCUGACCACCCUGUUUUAAGUCACACCCCCCACCACGCUAUGCCCCCUACCUACUUUCUUUCUUUCCAUAAAACUUAUCACCAUCCAACAUGGUCCAGUAUGAGCUUCCUGAGAGCAGAGAUUUUUGUCAGCUUUGUUAAAUAUUGUAAUCCCAAAGCUCAGACUAACGUCCAGCACAGAGUAGGGCUCAGUAUGUUUUAAAUAAUAAUAUGUAACAAAUGAAUAUGUGAAAAUAGAGUAAUUUUUAAUACAUUUUAAUAUACUAUUUUCAUCUAUUUUUAAUAAAAUUACUCCAUAGCUUCUAUUUCCAUAUACUUUUACAAAAUUACUCAGCUCACCUCUUCACUCAACAAUACAUCACUGUCAUUGGGUCAAUAGACAGACCUCUAUUAAUUUCAUUCUUUUUACUAGCUGCAUAGUAUUUCAUAUUUCAUGUUUAAAUGGACCACAGUUUACUAGCCAUCCUCUUCUAUCAAAGGACAUUUGUAUUGUUUCCAAUGUUUUGCCUCCACAAACAAUGCUGCAAUAAAUAUCCUUGUACAUACA
Molecule: non-coding RNA, 4756 nt
Organism: Equus caballus (horse)
Lineage: Eukaryota; Metazoa; Chordata; Mammalia; Perissodactyla; Equidae
Source: RefSeq, a predicted model, not a curated record